Molecule: small RNA, 555 nt
Filed under: Histoplasma ohiense
Lineage: Eukaryota; Fungi; Ascomycota; Eurotiomycetes; Onygenales; Ajellomycetaceae
Description: hypothetical lncRNA
Source: RNAcentral
UCAGCAGAGAGGGAGUUCUUGAAGAGUGAGGAGAGUGACAGCUGCCACCGAGCCCUGCAUACCUAGGGCAUGCCGCUAAUAUUAUUAGUUGCGAGUGUUGUUUUUUGUCAUUCUUCGUGCGCCUACAAUGUUGCCUCUCCCCGCUUUCUUCAUCGGGUUCGCCCCUCGUAAUCGAAGGCCAGUCGCGUGGCAGCGAUGGAUCCCCACAACAGGCUAGCCAAAAAACCUCCGUCGCUGAGCAUGAUGGCUCGGAUCAACGGGGUCUGGAUGAACGUCUCGGAAAAAAUCCUUCCAAGUACAGCACAUUGCUGGGGAUGUCUGUCGAUAAAGGGAUAUCCGCCCCAAUUCACGUUGUGAAAGGCAAACGAGCAACCUCGGCCUUCAGUGCAGUGGUUCGAACCCCGGGCUGGAUGGAAAGCGCUUCGAUUCAAACUUUGUGUCGCAAGUGUCAAGGUUGCACAACAACUUGUUUCGUUCCACAAUCUGGCCACCUGACCGCCAUAAACUCGAAAUGUGGUUCUAUGACAAGGAGCUGCGACAGCAAAACCACUUUAU